AAACCCAGAUAUUUAACACACAAAAAUAUCCGCCAGAGAACUACGAGCAUAACGCUUAAAACUCUAAGGACUUGGCGGUGCCUUAAACCCCCCUAGAGGAGCCUGUUCUAUAAUCGAUAAUCCACGAUCCACCUCACCAUCUCUUGCCAGUACCGCCUAUAUACCGCCGUCACUAGCCUACCCUAUGAAGGAUAUAAAAGUAAGCAAAACAGCCAACAAUAGCUAAUAAGUCAGGUCAAGGUGUAGCUAACUGAGAUGGAAGAAAUGGGCUACAUUUUCUAAACUAGAAAUUAUCUCACGGAAAGAACCAUGAAACAAGUUCUACAAGCAGGAUUUAGCAGUAAACAAGGAUUAGAAUGCCCAAUUUAAGCCGGUCCUAAGGCACGCACACACCGCCCGUCACCCUCCUCAAAUCAACAUCAUCUAUAAAUAAAACCACAACAAACAAACAGAUGAGGCAAGUCGUAACAAGGUAAGUAUACCGGAAGGUGUACUUGGAACAUU
The sequence is a ribosomal RNA, 504 nucleotides long. It matches the Rfam family "Bacterial small subunit ribosomal RNA", at positions 801 to 1533 of the family's 1533-position model.